GGGAUUGCCUUAGUAACGGCGAGUGAAGCGGCAAAAGCUCAAAUUUGAAAUCUGGCACUUUCAGUGUCCGAGUUGUAAUUUGAAGAAGGUAACUUUGGAGUUGGCCCUUGUCUAUGUUCCUUGGAACAGGACGUCACAGAGGGUGAGAAUCCCGUGCGAUGAGGUGUCCAAUUCUAUGUAAAGUGCUUUCGAAGAGUCGAGUUGUUUGGGAAUGCAGCUCUAAGUGGGUGGUAAAUUCCAUCUAAAGCUAAAUAUUGGCGAGAGACCGAUAGCGAACAAGUACAGUGAUGGAAAGAUGAAAAGAACUUUGAAAAGAGAGUGAAAAAGUACGUGAAAUUGUUGAAAGGGAAGGGCUUGAGAUCAGACUCGGUAUUUUGCAAGCCUAUCCUUCGUGGAGAGGUUUAUUAGCAGCUUACCGGGCCAGCAUCGGUUUGGAUGGUAGGAUAAUGGCAUUGGAAUGUGGCUCCUCGGAGUGUUAUAGCCUUUGUUGAUACUGCCUAUCUAGACCGAGGACUGCGUCUUUGACUAGGAUGCUGGCGUAAUGAUCUUAAGCCGCCCGUCUUGAAACACGGACC
This is a ribosomal RNA of 575 nucleotides. It matches the Rfam family "Eukaryotic large subunit ribosomal RNA", at positions 71 to 667 of the family's 3401-position model.